GGCAUUAUAGCCUAGUGGUAUCUUGGUGGUGGGAUAAGGCUCAUAACCAUUAGGUCAUGGGUUCGAUUCCCACAAAGGGGA
Molecule: transfer RNA, 81 nt
Filed under: Helianthus annuus (common sunflower)
Lineage: Eukaryota; Viridiplantae; Streptophyta; Magnoliopsida; Asterales; Asteraceae
Description: tRNA HanXRQr2_Chr11g0477281
Source: RNAcentral